UACGGAGGGUGCAAGCGUUGUUCGGAAUCAUUGGGCGUAAAGCGCGUGUAGGCGGCUUUUUAAGUUUGGUGUGAAAGCCCGGGGCUUAACCCCGGAAGUGCACUGAAUACUGAUUAGCUAGAGGGUGAGAGAGGAUAGUGGAAUUCCUGGUGUAGGGGUGAAAUCCGUAGAUAUCAGGAGGAACAUCUGUGGCGAAGGCGGCUAUCUGGCUCACUUCUGACGCUGAGACGCGAAAGCGUGGGGAGCAAACAGG
Molecule: ribosomal RNA, 253 nt
Filed under: uncultured bacterium
Lineage: Bacteria
Description: partial 16S ribosomal RNA
Rfam family: Bacterial small subunit ribosomal RNA
Source: RNAcentral